Molecule: long non-coding RNA, 13734 nt
Filed under: Lathyrus oleraceus (garden pea)
Lineage: Eukaryota; Viridiplantae; Streptophyta; Magnoliopsida; Fabales; Fabaceae
Description: Pisum sativum (pea) long non-coding RNA (PSAT_LNC011618)
Source: RNAcentral
GAAAUGCGUAAUGUGAAUGAUAAAAUGGUUAUGUAAUAACAGUGGAAUUGUUCCAGGUUUGUUUGUGAUAACAUAUAAGUGUAUGAAUGAUUCUCAUGUUAUGAAUUCUUGAGAGUAUGGUUAUCAUGGUUGUGAAAUGAAUUAAAUGCAGGGUUGUUUCUAGUGAUAAGAUACGACUUAUGAACUUAGGACAUUCGGAGCAAGACCACCAUGAAUGAUUUGAAGAAAUUGGUUCCUUACAAGUGAAGCAAUUUUGGCCAUGAAUUUAGAAAUGAAACGAAAGCAUGAGGGGAAAAUUGGGAACUAGGAAUUAUGCUUAUGGGUUUAGGUGGUUUGAGUCACGUUUGGAAAUGUAUGGAAAGUGAUUAGAUGCUACGGAAUUGGUGUAAUUUCAUUUCUUUUUGAAUGGUUUGAAUUGUAAUGAAUGUAUAAUUUUGGUUUAAUGUUUGUAAAUCUUGCAAUUUUCCCGUAUGAUGGACCUACCUCUUUAUGCUUUAUAAUGGAAUUUGCUAUUCUUGAAUGAAAUAAGAUUGGUAUGGAACUUAUAUGGACAUGAUUUGAAUUAAUUGAUAUUUGGAAUGAAUUUGAGCAUGGCUAUGAACUAAAAUGUGAAAAUGGUAUUGGUUUAAAGUGGUUUAUGAAAAUGAUUAGGAAUGGUUUUAAAAUAUGAAGAUGAUUAAAAUUGGAUUUAAAAAAAUAUGAAGAUGAUUAAAAUUGGAUUUAAAAAAAUAUGAAGAUGGUAAAAAUGGGUUUUGGUUAGAUGGUUAACUUUGGUCAACUGGUUGUCCAAAAAGUCAACUUAGGGAAAAAUGUUUGUUUACUUAUGGAAUGAAUGUGGAUACGACCGAAAAGCCUAAUGUUCUUAAACCAAAUAAAACAUGCCAAGUUCUAAGACUUGAAGUCCACUCAAGCCAGACCAACCAAGUGAUAAUCAAUCCAGCAACAAAUUAUGACAUCUUGAAUGCAUCUUCGUCGAUGAAUCAGAACCCUGGAUCUUAAACGAACAACCGAAUCGUUCAAUGAACCAAAUGACUUAGAUGCAACCUCCCUGAAUUAGGGUUUCCACUAUGCCCUAGUGAACACCCUUGAACCCAUGAUUUUAUGCUUUUUUCAAAUGCAAGUGGAAUGUGUUAUGAUACAAUGAAUAUGUAGAUGAGAUGAAUGCUUAUCAGGAUAUGCGAAUGCACAUGGUUAGUGACCUAGAUGAACUUAGCGAAAGGUAGGGUGAGUUUUGGGGUAUGACAGUUGCCCCUAUUUAAUCUUCUCAAACCUGAAUGUAUGGAUAGCGACAACUUCUAAAAAUUCAAGCUAGGAGGGGAUUAAAUACUAAAAUAUUGGAAAAUUUUCCCACCAAGAACAAAUAAAAUGUGAAGAUAGGUCACCAAGAAAUUCUUCACUGAAAUAUAGGGUGAACAAACCAGCUUUUGUACAGGGAAGCUACUGGGGAUUUAAGUGUAUUAUCUGGUCAAUGGUAGUUACGGAAGGUUAGGGAUGCAUGAAAUAUACAUGAUGUUGAUGCAAUAUGAUUGAUUCUUCUUUUUCAAUAGGCUCUCUGUUUUUUAUAAGCAAGCUUUUCAUUUUUUUUAUUUUUUUUCAAAACUCUUAGGCAAGCACUAAGAACACUUUUUCAUCGGGGAGGAAUGAGUGAAAUAUAUUUUUUUAAACACAGUUUACCAAGUGGAAUCUGGACUUUAUUUGGUUUUGUUUAUUCAUGACUGGGAAGAAAGAAAGGGAGAGGGCCGAACACAAUUGGUCUUUGCUGAGGGAUGAGGUCUGAAAUUAACCUUAUCGGAAGGAGAAGAGAAGGGUAAAGGGAGGGGCUCCGAAGUUAACCUUAUCGGAAAGGGAAGAAAGGGAUCUCGAAGUUAAACUUAUCGGGGAGAGAAGUGUCCUGAAGUUAACCUUAUCAGGAAGAGAAGAAAUGGAUCCCGAAGUUAACCUUAUCGGGGGGAGAAGAGAAGUAUCCUGAAGUUAACCUUAUCAUAAAGAGAAGGAAUGAGUCCUGAAGUUAACCUUAUCAGGAAGAGUAGGAAGAGAAGAAAUGGAUCCCGAAGUUAACCUUAUCGGGGGGAGAAGAGAAGUAUCCUGAAGUUAACCUUAUCAUAAAGAGAAGGAAUGAGUCCUGAAGUUAACCUUAUCAGGAAGAGAAGAGAUGGAUCCUGAAGUUGACCUUAUCAGGGAGAGAAGAAACGAAAACGGGCUUCCGAAGUUAACCUUAUCGGAAAGAGAAGGAAUGAAAACGAGUUUCCGAAGUUAACCUUAUCGGAAAGGGAAGAAAAUGAUCCUGAAGUUAACCUUAUCAGGAAGAGAAGAAAUGAAGACAUCGUUGGGGAAACAUUCCAAAGUUAACCUUAUUGGAACUGGAGAAGGAAAAUAGGGGGGUCCCGAAGUUAACCUUAUCGGGAAGAGAAGACACGAAAAAGGGGGGUUCCGAAGUUAACCUUAUCGGAAGAGAAGAAAUGAACCUUGAAGUUAACCUUAUCAGGGAGGCAAAAAAAUGAACCUUGAAGUUGACUUAUCAGAAAGAGAAGAAAUGGAACGAGUUUCCGAAUUUAACCUUAUCGGAAAGGGAAGAAAGGUGUCCUGAAGUUAACCUUAUCAAGAAGAGAAGAAAUGGAUCCUGAAGUUGACCUUAUCAGGAAGAGAAGAGUAAUAUCCUGAAGUUAACCUUAUCAGGAAGACAAGAGAUGGACCCUGAAGUUGAUCUUAUCAGGAAGAGAAGAAAUGAAUGCGAGUUUCCGAAUUUAACCUUAUCAGAAAGGGAGGAAAAGGGUCAUGAAGUUAACCUUAUCAGGAAGCGAAGGGAUGAAAACGGGUUUCCAAAGUUAACCUUAUCGGAAAGAGAAGGAACGGAUCCUGAAGUUAACCUUAUCAAGAAGAGAAGAGAUGGAAGACGGUUCCGAAGUUAAACUUAUCGGAAAGAGAAGAAACAGGGCCCGAAGUUAACCUUAUCGGGGAGAGAAGGGUAAUAUCCUGAAGUUAACCUUAUCAGGAAGAGAAGAAAUGGAAACAUGUUUUCGAAGUUAACCUUAUCGAAAAGAGAGGGAAAAAAGGGGGGGCCUGAAGUUAACCUUAUCAGGAAGAGAAGAAAUGGAUCCCGAAGUUAAUAUUAUCAGGAAGAGGAGAGAAGUUUCCUGAAGUUGACCUUAUCAGGAAGAAAAGAAAUGAAUGGUUUCCGAAGUUAACCUUAUCGAAAAGAAAAGAAAUGGAUCCUGAAGUUCACCUUAUCAGGGAGAGAAGGAAGUUUCCGAAGUUAACCUUAUCGGAAAGAGAAGAAAGGUGUCCUGAAGUUAACCUUAUCGGGAAGAGAAGGGGUGAAAACCUGUUUCCGAAGUUAACCUUAUCGGAAAAAGGAUCCUGAAGUUGACCUUGCCAGGAAGAAAAGAAAUGAAUAGUUUCCUAAGUUAACCUUAUCGAAAAGGAAAGAAAUAUCCUGAAGUUAACCUUGUCAGGAGAAAAGGGGAGUGUCCUGAAAUUAACCUUAUCAGGAAGAGAAGAAGGUUUCCAAAGGUAACCUUAUCGGCAAGAAAAGAAACGGGUCCCAAAGUUAACCUUAUCGGGGAGAGAAGGGUAAUAUCCUAAAGUUAACCUUAUUAGGGAGAGAAGAAAAUGAUCCUGAAGUUAACCUUAUCAGGAAGAGAAGGGGUGAUGACAUAUUUCCGAAGUUAGCCUUAUCGAAAAAAGGAGAAAAUGGUCCUGAAGUUAACCAUACCAGGAAGAGAAGGAAUGGCUCCGAAGUUAACCUUGUCGGAAAGAAAAGAAGUGGAGACACCAUUAAGGGUGUUGUCCCAAAGUUAAUCUUAUUGGAACAAGAAGAGAAUGGCUAUAGCCAUGUGAAUCACUCUAGAGCGAAUGGAAGGCUUGGUCAAACACAUUCAAUUCGCAAAGAUACACAGGAAGGUCCGAUAUUAUGUAUGUUCGACACGGAUGGGGUAUGGUUUGGCCAAUGGAACUGGACUUACAAAUGGUUCUCCCGAUUGGGAUCAAACGCUACGGGGGGUAUUGAAAGAGGGUUUAUCCACCAGGUUGGAUUCCAGGAAAGUGCCGAAGGAAACGGGCUAUUGAGUAGUGCUAAAAGAGUUUUGGACUUGCUUCUUUCUCGUUUAGAGAGCUUCAUGGUUAUAUCAUAUGAUAUGCAUAAAAUGAUAUGAAUUAUGCAUGAUGGGUUUAUGCAAUGAUGGAUUACGGAUGCCCCAAGUUUGGGCAUGGUGUGCCCUGAACAGAGGUACAUCCACUUGGCUUACCAGUCUUCUGAUUUAUGGGGCGUGAGCUGCAUCUUGCAUGACUCUCCGACAUCUGACCUCUCGAUACUACUGGUGAAUGACAUUUGAGUUGGAUCUUCUGAUGCCUCAGGCUGGAUCUGAAAAGCUUUUGCGAGCAGGGAGAGAAUCUUUGUCUCUUUGGAUCGUCUUGCCCCAGUCUGUUGGGUACCUGCACAGGUUUCCCCAGUCUAUUGGGUAUCUGCACGAAUUGCCUUAGUCUAUUGGGUAUUUGCAUGGAUUUCCCCCGUCACAAGCUAUGAAGCAACUUUGUUAUAGAUUAUCUUAAUCUGACAUGCCCUAGUGUCUCAGGAUUGCACUCCUCUGAUUAACCAUCUCGGAGAGAUUGACUUCUUAUGCUCUUGGGGUGGCCUGCCUCAAUACGAGCCUUGAAGAAACUUCGCCUCUGGCUGGCUGACCUUUGAGAGAGUGCCCCUGACUAAUUGGUCUUCGGAGAGAUUUAUCGAAUCUCGACAUGACUACUUCUGAUCGGCUGGAUCUUGAAGAGAUUUCUCGACGUGACUACUUCUGAUCGACUGGAUCUUGAAGAGAUUUUUCAACGUGACUACUUCUGAUCGACUGGAUCUUGAAGAGAUUUCUUGACGUGACUACUUCUGAUCGGCUGGAUCUUGAAGAGAUUUUUCAACGUGACUACUUCUGAUCGACUGGAUCUUGAAGAGAUUUCUUGACGUGACUACUUCUGAUCGGCUGGAUCUUGAAGAGAUUUCUCGAUGUGACUACUUCUGAUCGGCUGGAUCUUGAGGUAGUCUUGUCUUUAGCUCAACAGAGUCUUUAAACAUUCUUCUCUAGUAUGAUCAGAAGAAGUGGUUUGCCCUUGCUCAACGGAGAUCUCAGGCACUCUACACUUUUGAUAUGAUCCAAAGAAGUGGCUUGCCCCUGCUCGACGGAGGCCUCGGGCGUUAUGCACUUUUGAUAUGAUCAAAAUAAGUGGAAUUCCUAUGCUCGACGAAGGUCUCAGGCGUUCUUCACUUUUGAAUCAAUUAGUCAAGAUGAUUUGCCUCUGCUCCAUAGAGGUCUUAGGCAUCCUGCACUUUUGAAUCAUCAGAUGAAGUGGCUUGCCCCUGCUCCAUGGAGGUCUCAGGCAAUAUGCACUUUUAAAUCAUCAAAUGAAGUGGCUUGCCCCUGCUCAACGGAGGUCUCAGGCGUUCUUCACUUUUAAAUCAUCAAGUUCCUCAAUUCAUGUUCAUUGUGGAAGACUUCUGGAUGUCAGAUGCUUACCCACGAGUAAGACAAGUUCAUUUUAGAAAUGAUAAUGCAAAUGUCAUGUUUAUGCUAAUUUUGAAAUCCCAUUAUGUCCACAUGGAAUUAAGACAUAUAAUGAAUGAAUCACUAAUGAGAAUGUCAUAUCGAUACCAACACAAAUGAUAAGCAAAUCAUUAAAGAGUCAAUUUUAACACAAUUAUACUGACUAUAGUAUGCUUUCGAACUAAACCCUGCUUCAAUUAGGUCUUUUGAGGGUUGUAACGUGGCCUGGUUCACGGUUUUCAGGAAAAAGGAUUUAUGGCUCGAAACCUAUUCUAACCCACCUACUCUUCGUGAUGUUCUUCAGUCCUAUGUUCAUCUAGUUCGAUACAAGCGUUCGUCCUUCAAAAGGGAAUUGGGGAUGAAAAUGAACCCACAAGGUUUUCAGAGUGGCAGUCAUGCAGCUUCUGUCUGCUUUGUUGCCACAUGAUUUUGUUCUUGCUGAGGAUUUUCUUAUGAUUCCUCUUUGUUUGAUUUAUUUCCCUAUUUUUGCUGGAUUGGUUCUGAUUUUCGAUCCACAGGGAUACCCUAACUUUUGCCUAAGUCACUUGUUCUCAAGCUUCGACUUAGCGGACUUUGUCUCUUUCAUUUUUUUGGAAUAAAUCGUAUGACAUUCGCUCGAUUGAUUGGAAGGGUUGUGACUGCCUCGUGCCUCUAUGGGCGAGGGACAACCAAUGUGGACUUAUUGUCUCUGAACUCUUUUGAGGUAUAAUAUAUGGUUGACCCUCAAAUAGGACACUCCUCUUUUGAAGUUUGAACGCCUGGUCAAACUAACUGAACUCUACCCUGCCCCGGGUUAAGAUUGAGGGUUUUAUAUUCAGAAAGAAACUCCUACUCCUUGGCUCGAAGGGGUUGACUAGGGAUUAUCUUCCUUAUAACUCCGGUGUUUAGGAUCCGAAACAAUGCGUUACAUCAUCAUCAAGGUUCUAUCCAAAAGUGUAUGCACAGUGAUAUCGUGUUUUCAAUUUCAUCAUUCUCCUUUUGAUUUCGCUUAACAAAAGUUUGAUAUCGAUGGAAAGUAUGAGUGGACACGAAUGGAUUUACUCGAAACAAUGCAUAUUUAUUUCAAUGUCAUUAUUAUUCACAAACAAACGAGUUUAUUACAAGUGAAUAUCUACAAAUGACAAACAAGAAAAAUUACACAUGAGAAAUGAUUGAACAACUAAUGAUUGAUGGAGUGAUCAACCUUAUUCCUCCCACAACUUGGGGUAUCGGUUCUUGCAGAAGCUGAUGAAGUAGUCAUAUAGAUGGAACCUCUUCAAAUCUACCAAUGCUUGGACUGUGGCAUCCCAGACGUGCUUGCCUGUGCGGGGUCGUUCAUUACAGUUGGCGUGAACGAUAUAGCUUUCGAGUCAAUCAAAUCUUACACUUUGUGCUUGAAGACAUUACAGUUCUCGAUCAAGUGCCCUGGCGUCCCAGAGUGAUACUCACAAUUAACAUUCAUGUCAUAUCCGGAAGGAAGGGGUACUAGAGGAGCCUUGACUUCUCUUAACUGAACCAAUGAAUCCCUGAGCAAAUAGGCUAGCAGAUGACCAUACGACAUGGGAAUUGGGUCGAAAUUCCUGGGAGGCCUCCUUGGUCCUUGUCUACCCUGCCGAUAGCAAUUCUGCUGUUGGUUUGGAUACGGGUUCGACACCUCAGACGUAUUUGUCUGUGAAGUCUUAGGGGUGCGUACUACAUUCAGGCCUUGCGAUGUGAACAUAAUAACCUUCGAAUCAAUCAAAUCUUGCACUAAGUGCUUUAGAGCUCUGCAAUCCUCGACCGUGUGUCCGGGUGCUCCACAAUGGAAUACACAUCUAGCAUAUACAUCAUAGCCACAAGGGAGAGGUGUUGGAGUAGGUCCUGGUUCUCGCAGUCGUACCAAUAAGUGCAUACGUAAUAGAGGGAGAAGCCUACUAUAUGACAUAGGAACCUGAUCCAUGUGCCUCUCUGGCUUCUUUGUCUUUCUCUAACCCUGAUGAGCAUAACCCCCUUGCUGAUUGGGAUAUUGAUUAUGCAUAGGGUUGCUCUGCCUGGGUCAGGGAACAGGAAAUGAUUGUUGACAUGGAGCCUCUGAAGAUCCGGGUUGUGGAUAGAAUCCAUGAGGUAACUCUUGGUGUGGAUCAGAAUCAGGCGCAUUCACAUGAGGGAUCACCUUUGGCACAACAACUGGCCUAUGAUAGUUCAGUAGUACAUUCAUGAGAUCCAAAGCACGGGCGGACUGAGUCUUCAGAUCGCUGAGUUCCAAGCACAAAGCUUCAUGACUUUCCAGCAACUCGUCCAUGGUAACUCGAGACAUACUUCUGGCUUGAACAAAUGUCGGGUAGUCAGCUUGAUUGUAGAGGGUUCUGGACAAAGGCUAAACAACAGUGAGCUUUCUUAAGUAGGUCUAAUGAAAUGCAAUUAUGCAUGAAUGCAACAUGUUUUAUGUUCCCAAAGGAAUGCAUAUGCUGAAUGAUGUGAUGAAAUGGCAUGCAACAUCAUCGAUCAAGGGUUCACAACAUCUUGGAUGAUCUGAUUGUGAAGCUCAAGGUAGGUUGAAGGUUUAUUUCCCUGCAAGAAAGCACUAUAUCCCCUCACAAGGUGAGUACUAAGACUUAUGAAGAUGCUUAGAUUCAUGGAUCAUGAGGCGAAAGUAUCGUCGUCGCCACAAGAUGACUUGUGACUUAACAAUACCCUCAGGAUGAUCUCCUCUAAGUGAGGUUUCCCUCAACUUCGAAAGACACGGGUUGUCUAAGGUCCUUGGAGUCACGGACUCCCUUUGGAAGAAUGAAUAUCAGCGCGAAUGUGACUCACAUGCCAACAAAACUCCAAAAAGAAUCUAUUCCAAAUGGGAUAUUCGUGUCUCCCUCGCAAGACAACUACGUCCGAUAGGCCAACACGAAGUCCCUCUUAUCUUAUGUAUACUCUCUAAGCCGGUGUAUUGGGCUUCUCCCUCUAUACUACUUAUCCCACAAGAUCAGAGCAAGAUAAUGUAUAACAAGAAUAUAUAACAGGCAUGGAUAAAUAAAGCAAUAAAUAACAUAAGUAUACAAUCCAAGAAAAGUAUACAAGAAAGCUAGGCUUGACUCGCUUAUGGGAACUCCAUAUCGUCCCCAUCAGAGUCACCAGCUGAAGCGCCGCAAAAAAUACAGAGUCGCCACCGGAUUUUAUUUAUUCCAAAGGAAAGGGAAUAUAGCAAUAAAACCCCAAAUGAGAGAAAUGGUCUCGCAACCAAGAGCGUAUUCGAAAGUCGGUUAUGCAAGGGGAAGGUAUUAACACCCCUCACAUCCAUGGUACUCCAUGGGAACGACUUGCUCGUAUCAAAUGCGCAUGGAUGUUUAUUUAUCUAUAAAUUGCUUGCUAUUAGGAAUGAGAUGAUAGAAUAAGGUGGGAGAGAAAAUAAGUUUUAAGUAAGUAUGCUCGCCAAGGAUUUUGGCCCUCGCGCCUACGUAUCCCCAUACGUGCAAUAGGGAAGUCAGAGCUGUAUAGUUCGGCUAAAAAAUUGCGCAUUUGUUUAGUUAUUUAUACUGAACAGUAUUGACGUUCACGUGCUACUGUUCACUUGCUUGUAUACUCUGUCAUGGAAGCAGAAAGUAUUUGCUUGUUUGCGAUAAAGUGGAUAUGCUUGGUUCGCACUCUAGCAGUUAAACAUUACUUGCUCGCAAAUGGAGGCUUAAGCUUCGUUCACGGUAGAACAGAAGUAACACGUUCUUAUUGAAAGGUUUUGAGUAGAGUGCACUAAGGAAAAAGAUGGUUUGAUUUGUUGGGGUCGAUUUUAUGCAUGGAGACAAGCAUUAGACCCUUGACUAGAUACAGUCAACGGUCCAAUAACUCGGGAGUUGAGAGGAUAAGUUAUCCUAACCACUCUUUUUCAUCCAAAAGAGAUUUGGUUAUGAAAGGAUUUGGCAAGUUUAAUCAUUGGAACUUAGAGGGUGACACGUAUUCCACCCUUGACUAAGUACGGUCAAUGAUCAAAGUACUUGGGAAUCGAGAGAACAACGAAGUCCUAACUAUUCUUUUUCAUCCUCAUAGCACCUAGAUCUAACUUGUUUGAAUCAUUAGAUGUUUUAAGGGGGAAAGUCAAGUGUCGGGUCCUCGGGCUAGGUACGGUCGACAACCCAAUUACUUGAAUGUUAUGUAUAAACACGUACACCCCAUUUGCAUUCCAAUUUGUUAUGAAAAUGGUUUUGAAAAAGGUACUUGACAUUGAAUCAAGCGUUUUAAUUUGUUAUGAAAAUAGUGAGUGAAGGAAUGGAGGUGAGAGAUAGAAUGAGAUCGAGAAUAGAAUGGAUAAGAGGUGUGAAUAAUGGAUCUUGGAGUGGAUGGAGAAUACUUGACAUUGGAUCAAGUAUUCGCGUUGCAAUGGCAUGAGUUUUAUUCGGAAAACAACUUUACGUUGAAUCAAGUACCUUUUGUUUCUUUUGAAAUGCUUUGCUUAUCGUUUUAUAUUUUAUCUUGUUUUGAUUAUCAUGCAUAGUGGACUAUCUAGAAAAUAAUAAAUCUAAGCUAUUACAUGAGUAGGGGGAGGGGAACAUUUAACCCAUAAUGGGGGGAUGGAUCCACACAAUACAAUGGAAAGGGAAUGAAAGAAAAAUACAAGUUAUAAACUACUAAACUAUGUAUCAUGCCUAAUGCAUACAAGUGACAUGGUACUUCAAACAAUACAAAGCUAUUGAAUAAAACGAAAUGGUUAGGAGCAUGGUUAGCUAGGAGUGAGCUUGCUUGUCCAAGUCAUAUGUGACAACACAAGACAACAAACGAGUUAGCAUGAGAUAAAGUCGAAUGAAUGAGAAUGAUGUAAGUACAUACAAUGGUUAGAAUCGAUUCAAAAGGUAAUGGAUUAAUCAAUGAAAAAUAAUCAAGGAUCUAUCCUAUGAUCAUGGAAAAUGAAACUGGACAUACAAAGUAUUCAUCACCUAAAUUAAAAUGGGAUUUUCAAUUUAAUCAAAAUGAUCAUAAACUAAAGAAACGAUUAAAUGGACAAUUAAAGUGACUAUUAAUUCUAAAAAUUAAAAUCUACCAAAACAUGCAUUAGGAAGCAAAUUAAUCAAAGGGAAAAUUACCAAUCUGUAUUCAAGAAUAGAAUUCUAAUCUACAUGAUUAUACAAAUCACCACACAAUAGUCUAAUCGCAUGAAAAUUCAACCUAAGGUCCAAUCAUGAUAAAAUCCAUAUGAACCAUAUUAAUCUCAACAAAAAUCCGCAAAAUGAAAUAACCAAAAUCUAAAGACUAAACUCUAAUCAUGGCAUGGUAAUCAAUCAUGAAUUAAUUAUGGAAAAUUAAGAACUAAUUCUAAUCAAAAGAAUUGACUAAACCUAAUUAACUUCUAAUUACCUAAUCAAAUCUAAUUAAGAGUUAAGCUAAUCAUCACUAAAAUUGUGCUAAAUCCUAAUAUUUCUAAAAAGGGGAAUAAUCCUAAUUCUACAAGAUCAACAAUUAGCACCAACAUUAACAAAAAAAAACAUGCAUUAGAAACAAAUGAACUAAAAGAUUAAACCAAUAAUUAAUGGGGUGAUUAGAGAGAUUAUGGCCAUGGGGAUGUACGUUGGAUUCAGGGGGUGUGAACCAAGAAACAAAAACUUGCUUGGCCCAAAGGCCCAAGUCUUCCAAAAAUACCAGUUCAGUAACAAACCAACAGCCACACCACCAACAUCCAACAUGGGGCGGUGAAAUCCUCGAAGAACAUGUGAGAAUCGUAGCUGAAGUAUGACGAAGUGGAUCACGCAUAUCCCUAUGCCCUCAUCGCCAACACGCCGUCCACGAGGAUUGGAGGUUCUCACUGUACCGACUCGUUUUCAGGUUCCGCGACGGACCAAAACCGAUGAACAUGAAUUCGAUUGCACGCCUAAUCGAAACAAAUAGAGAAGGAGAAGCCUACCUGGCUUAUUGAGGGUUCCAGGAGACUCGAUUCUCGUUCUUCCCUUCUUCUGUUUCCUUAUGUUGCAAAGUUGUUGCGAUUCGUUUGCAUAUUACUACUGAAUUGAAGCGAAGAUGAUGAAUCAUUGUUGAUACGUGGCAUUGCCGAUUGGAAUGAUUAAAAUUCCCUGGUAUGCUUUCGUUUCUCCUUCUCUUUCUUCUUCUGUGUUUGAUUUUCCUUCCUUGAUUCUGUUUUCGACUUCUUCUUCUCCUUUUCUGAUUCUGUUUUCUUCUUUUUCUUUUGGUUAUGCCGUUUUUGAAAAUUUCUGGUGUUAUGGUUGUCGUGAGGGUUAUGAUUGGUGGCGGUUGAGAGUUACGCGAAGUCUCGUUUUUCUGCCGGGAAGUCUUAUCGCAGUGAUUGGAAAAUGAGAGGUUCGGUUGGAGUGAAAGGUUGAAGAAGUUAUUGUUAAGAGGGAGUGGAGAGUGUUAAGAGGAUGAAGUUGUUGUGAGUUAGAAGAAGUGGAGUUUCAGGGUGAACAAGGUUCUGUUAGGGAGAAGGAGGUUAUGGAGAAUGGAGAAUGGAGUUAGUUGUGUUCUGUUAUAGGUUGGUUAGAGGUUGAGAAAACAGUUGCAGGGUUGGUUAUCCCUGUUCUAUCUGUUAGCAACUCGGUUCAAAUUCUGUUAUUUGUUAGAGGCCUUUUAUGGUUGAAGGUGGAAAAAAAAAAGACCCUUUUAAUCGUGAAGGUAUGAAAUUAUAUAUUUUUCAGAUCUCCUUUCUUUUCAUUCUUCUGUUAUGAAUCUUCCUAUUUUGGUUUUGAAGGUUUUAUGAGAGUUCGAAAUCAGUUGGGAAUUCGGUUACGGCUUGGGAGUUUGUUAUUGAGGGAGGUUCCAGAAGCUGCGGUCCUGAAUUGUUGGCUGGAAUUCGGUUGGAAUAGUCAUGUCGAUUCCAUUUAUUGACUUGAAUUGAUUUGGUUGUUAGAGUUAUUUUCCAUUUAUUGACUUGAAUUGAUUUGGUUGUUAGAGUUAUUCUCCGACUACUAUGGCCAAAGUUGUAUACUCGUUUCAAGAACCAUGUAAACAACACUUCGAGUCAACCCAAAGCAGCAAGGUCAAAGUUAGAGAGAACACUCUUCUUCUUGAUUUUCUUGGAUGACAUGAAGAAGAAUAGAAAGAAGGUAUGGGCGAGUGUGUUAAUUAAGUUAUUAAUGAGACUAACUUGGAAAUCAGUGUGCUGUUUCGGAGACAUUCUGAUGUGAUUCCGGCUUUUUAUGCAGGUUAGCAGCAUUGUUGCAGCAAUUCAGAGCUUAUUAGGUUUUCUAUCCACUUUUCUGAAUUGGCUUUGUUAAAACUCUCCUAGGAUGAAAAUAGUUUGAAUCUUGAUUGAAUGUGGUUGAGUUUUACUGUUGGCUCGUUGUAUGACGGUCUGCUGUUGAUGAUUUGCUAUGCAUAUUGUUUAGGAUAUUUGUAACUUCCAUGGGUUGACAUAAGGCUAGCUUCAUGUGAUUGGCUUAUUUGGUGCAGGGUUGGACCAAGGCUUGGAGUUUUAUCGUGGAGCUAUGGCUUGUGCACUUCGUGCAGGUCUCGGUUCACAUUGGCUUUUGUUAGUUUCGCAUAUGCAUUGCAGCGACAGUUUUAAUGCCAUUUCGGAAUAGGUUGGGUUGAAGUUCGUUGGACAAUUGGCUUCUUUCUUGAAGGUUCUCUAUGAAGGUUGGUUGUUUUUUUGUGUGUUAAAUCAUUUUGUGUAGUAUUCUUUGAGUGGGCAUUGUAAUGUAUAUUGCUUUCAACAUUUUCUAAUCCCAGCUCUGCAGGAUUCAUAAGCUACUCCCAACCAUCAAGUGAAGAACAUGUCCGGAAAGGAUGAUCAAUGAGUUGUUGCAAGGCCUUACGACGUGCUCUUUUAAUUUAUCAACGGAAUGACCAAGUUCUUUGAAUUUCUUACUAGGCACUUCAUCCGACAUUGGCUCAAAAUUGGCAAAAGCAUCAACGAUUGGCUUCAAUAACUUAAGUAUCUCUUAUGCCUUAUGAUAGCUGCGAAAUAGAGGAUAUGUUGUCAACAAGAAUUUUCAAACAACGAUAUCUUCACAACACUUUGUAAGUCUUGAAGAUUCUACAGCUAGCUUCUCAAAGAUGUCGUUGACGACACUGUUUAUGAUACCCAUGGCCUUGCUUAUUGCAUGAUAGUUAGCAAAUGUGAUUGUUGGAAAUUAGGAAGAUUUAAUUUAGUGAAUAUGAUGAGAUGGUCAUGUGAUAACAAGACUAUUAGUUAUGUAAUAUGAAUGUAAUGGGUAAUGUGAACGUAAUGCGUAAUGUGAAUGAUAAAAUGGUUAUGUAAUAAAAGAUGAAUUACUCCAGGUUUGUUUGUGAUAACAUAUAAGUGUAUGAAUGAUUCUCAUGU